UGCGUAGGCGGCUCUUUAAGUCAGUGGUGAAAUCUUGCCGCUUAACGGUAAAAUUGCCAUUGAUACAGAAGAGCUUGAGUACAGUUGAGGUAAGCGGAAUGUGUAGUGUAGCGGUGAAAUGCUUAGAUAUUACACAGAACACCAAUUGCGAAGGCAGCUUACUAAACUGUUACUGACGCUGAUGCACGAAAGCGUGGGGAGCGAACAGGAUUAGAUACCCUGGUAGUCCACGCCGUAAACGAUGCUCACUCGCUGUUUGCGAUACACAGCAAGCGGCCAAGCGAAAGCAUUAAGUGAGCCACCUGGGGAGUACGAUCGCAAGGUUGAA
Molecule: ribosomal RNA, 328 nt
Filed under: uncultured bacterium
Lineage: Bacteria
Description: bacterial SSU rRNA
Rfam family: Bacterial small subunit ribosomal RNA
Source: RNAcentral